This 751-nucleotide ribosomal RNA is filed under the name uncultured bacterium. RNAcentral's name for it is "bacterial SSU rRNA". It matches the Rfam family "Bacterial small subunit ribosomal RNA", at positions 48 to 796 of the family's 1533-position model. The record is from RNAcentral.
CUUACACAUGCAAGUCGAACGGUAACAGGUCUUCGGAUGCUGACGAGUGGCGAACGGGUGAGUAAUACAUCGGAACGUGCCCGAGAGUGGGGGAUAACGAGGCGAAAGCUUUGCUAAUACCGCAUACGAUCUAAGGAUGAAAGCAGGGGACCGCAAGGCCUUGCGCGUUUGGAGCGGCCGAUGGCAGAUUAGGUAGUUGGUGGGAUAAAAGCUUACCAAGCCGACGAUCUGUAGCUGGUCUGAGAGGACGACCAGCCACACUGGGACUGAGACACGGCCCAGACUCCUACGGGAGGCAGCAGUGGGGAAUUUUGGACAAUGGGCGAAAGCCUGAUCCAGCAAUGCCGCGUGCAGGACGAAGGCCUUCGGGUUGUAAACUGCUUUUGUACGGAACGAAAAGACACUGGCUAAUACCUGGUGUUGGUGACGGUACCGUAAGAAUAAGCACCGGCUAACUACGUGCCAGCAGCCGCGGUAAUACGUAGGGUGCGAGCGUUAAUCGGAAUUACUGGGCGUAAAGCGUGCGUAGGCGGUUAUUUAAGUCAGAUGUGAAAGCCCCGGGCUCAACUUGGGAACGGCAUUUGAUACUGAGUAACUCGAGUUUGGGAGAGGUAAGUGGAAUUUCAGGUGUAGCGGUGAAAUGCGUAGAUAUCUGAAGGAACACCAGUGGCGAAGGCGACUUACUGGCCUAAAACUGACGCUGAGGCACGAAAGCAUGGGUAGCAAACAGGAUUAGAUACCCUGGUAGUCC